AGUGAACGCUGGCGGUAGGCCUAACACAUGCAAGUCGAACGGCAGCACAGUAAGAGCUUGCUCUUACGGGUGGCGAGUGGCGGACGGGUGAGGAAUACAUCGGAAUCUACUUUUUCGUGGGGGAUAACGUAGGGAAACUUACGCUAAUACCGCAUAUGACCUACGGGUGAAAGCAGGGGAUCUUCGGACCUUUCGCGAUUGAAUGAGCCGAUGUCGGAUUAGAUAGUUGGCGGGGUAAAGGCCCACCAAGGCAACGAUCCGUAGCUGGUCUGAGAGGAUGAUCAGCCACACUGGAACUGAGACACGGUCCAGACUCCUACGGGAGGCAGCAGUGGGGAAUAUUAGACAAUGGGCGCAAGCCUGAUCCAGCCAUACCGCGUGGGUGAAGAAGGCCUUCGGAUUGUAAAACCCUUUUGUUGGGAAAGAAAAGCAGCAGGUUAAUACCCCGAUGUUCUGACGGUACCCAAAGAAUAAGCACCGGCUAACUUCGUG
This 492-nucleotide ribosomal RNA is filed under the name uncultured bacterium. RNAcentral describes it as "partial 16S ribosomal RNA". It matches the Rfam family "Bacterial small subunit ribosomal RNA", at positions 29 to 507 of the family's 1533-position model. The record is from RNAcentral.